Molecule: ribosomal RNA, 772 nt
Filed under: uncultured bacterium
Lineage: Bacteria
Description: bacterial SSU rRNA
Rfam family: Bacterial small subunit ribosomal RNA
Source: RNAcentral
AGUGAACGCUGGCGGCAGGCCUAACACAUGCAAGUCGAGCGGCAGCGCGGGGGCAACCCUGGCGGCGAGCGGCGGACGGGUGAGGAAUACAUCGGAAUCUACCCAGUCGUGGGGGAUAACGUAGGGAAACUUACGCUAAUACCGCAUACGAACUAAGGUUGAAAGCGGCGGACCGCAAGGCGUCGCGCGAUUGGAUGAGCCGAUGUCCGAUUAGCUAGUUGGCGGGGUAAAGGCCCACCAAGGCGACGAUCGGUAGCUGGUCUGAGAGGAUGAUCAGCCACACUGGAACUGAGACACGGUCCAGACUCCUACGGGAGGCAGCAGUGGGGAAUAUUGGACAAUGGGCGCAAGCCUGAUCCAGCCAUGCCGCGUGUGUGAAGAAGGCCUCGGGUUGUAAAGCACUUUUGUCCGGAAAGAAAUCCUGUCGGUUAAUACCCGGCGGGGGAUGACGGUACCGGAAGAAUAAGCACCGGCUAACUUCGUGCCAGCAGCCGCGGUAAUACGAAGGGUGCAAGCGUUACUCGGAAUUACUGGGCGUAAAGCGUGCGUAGGUGGUUCGUUAAGUCUGUCGUGAAAGCCCCGGGCUCAACCUGGGAAUGGCGAUGGAUACUGGCGGGCUAGAGUGCGGUAGAGGGUGGUGGAAUUCCCGGUGUAGCAGUGAAAUGCGUAGAGAUCGGGAGGAACAUCAGUUGCGAAGGCGGCCACCUGGACCAGCACUGACACUGAGGCACGAAAAGCGUGGGGGAGCAAAACAGGAUUAGAUACCCUGGUA